AGCUUCCUGCAAUGGCAAAGUGCUGUAUUGCUGGGACCAACACCACAAGAAAGGGAGCUCAACUCCGGGCGCGGAAAGCAGGCCUCUUCGUCGAGGAAGCUUGAACCGCUCGGGAGGCACCCACCGUGACUAAGCUGGGUUCCAGUUAAUCUCACUUUGCCAUUGCAGGAUCUUU
Molecule: non-coding RNA, 175 nt
Filed under: Fidelibacterota bacterium
Lineage: Bacteria; Pseudomonadati; Fidelibacterota
Description: 6S RNA
Rfam family: 6S / SsrS RNA
About the family: E. coli 6S RNA was the first non coding RNA to be sequenced, but its function was unknown until recently. It consists of 184 nucleotides that fold into an extended hairpin structure with a large single-stranded internal bulge. The 6S RNA specifically associates with RNA polymerase holoenzyme containing the sigma70 specificity factor.
Source: RNAcentral